GGCCGCGUUGGAUUAACUAGUUGGUGGGGUAAAGGCCUACCAAGGCGACGAUCCAUAUCUGGUCUGAGAGGAUGAUCAGCCACAUUGGGACUGAAACACGGCCCAAACUCCUACGGGAGGCAGCAGUGGGGAAUAUUGGACAAUGGGCGCAAGCCUGAUCCAGCCAUGCCGCGUGAGUGAUGAAGGCCUUAGGGUUGUAAAGCUCUUUCACCGGAGAAGAUAAUGACGGUAUCCGGAGAAGAAGCCCCGGCUAACUUCGUGCCAGCAGCCGCGGUAAUACGAAGGGGGCUAGCGUUGUUCGGAAUUACUGGGCGUAAAGCGCACGUAGGCGGAUAUUUAAGUCAGGGGUGAAAUCCCAGAGCUCAACUCUGGAACUGCCUUUGAUACUGGGUAUCUUGAGUAUGGAAGAGGUAAGUGGAAUUCCGAGUGUAGAGGUGAAAUUCGUAGAUAUUCGGAGGAACACCAGUGGCGAAGGCGGCUUACUGGUCCAUUACUGACGCUGAGGUGCGAAAGCGUGAGGAGCAAACAGGAUUAGAUACCCUGGUAGUCCACGCCGUAUACGAUGAAUGUUAGCCGUCGGGCAGUAUACUGUUCGGUGACGCAACUAACGCAUUAAACAUUCCGCCUGGGGAGUACGGUCGCAGAUUAAACUCAAAGGAAUUUGACGGGGGCCCGCA
This 677-nucleotide ribosomal RNA is filed under the name Agrobacterium tumefaciens. Its description in RNAcentral is "bacterial SSU rRNA". It matches the Rfam family "Bacterial small subunit ribosomal RNA", at positions 229 to 925 of the family's 1533-position model. Lineage: Bacteria; Pseudomonadati; Pseudomonadota; Alphaproteobacteria; Hyphomicrobiales; Rhizobiaceae. The record is from RNAcentral.